This 31-nucleotide non-coding RNA is filed under the name Mus musculus (house mouse). Lineage: Eukaryota; Metazoa; Chordata; Mammalia; Rodentia; Muridae. The record is from RNAcentral.
UACAUGAAUAGCUCACUUGCAUGAUGUGCCC